UAGGGAAUCUUCGGCAAUGGACGAAAGUCUGACCGAGCAACGCCGCGUGAGUGAAGAAGGUUUUCGGAUCGUAAAACUCUGUUGUUAGAGAAGAACAAGGGUGAGAGUAGAAUGUUCACCCCUUGACGGUAUCUAACCAGAAAGCCACGGCUAACUACGUGCCAGCAGCCGCGGUAAUACGUAGGUGGCAAGCGUUGUCCGGAUUUAUUGGGCGUAAAGCGAGCGCAGGCGGUUUCUUAAGUCUGAUGUGAAAGCCCCCGGCUCAACCGGGGAGGGUCAUUGGAAACUGGGAAACUUGAGUGCAGAAGAGGAGAGUGGAAUUCCAUGUGUAGCGGUGAAAUGCGUAGAUAUAUGGAGGAACACCAGUGGCGAAGGCGGCUCUCUGGUCUGUAACUGACGCUGAGGCUCGAAAGCGUGGGGAGCAAACA
This 428-nucleotide ribosomal RNA is filed under the name uncultured bacterium. RNAcentral's name for it is "bacterial SSU rRNA". It matches the Rfam family "Bacterial small subunit ribosomal RNA", at positions 355 to 774 of the family's 1533-position model. The record is from RNAcentral.